UUUAAAUGCUUUGUAACUGGAAAGCAGCCCAAAGUGUAGCUUUGGGGGUUUGGAGGCGAGGUUGGUUUACUGACGCAGCUGGGCCUGUGCGUGCCUGGGUUCUCCAGCAAGGCUUUCAGAGGAAAGAUAAAGCAGUGUGAUGGCUGAAGGCCAUCCUAGGUGUGACCCCGGCAGGUGCUAGCAGCAAGACCCCAAAUAUAGAUGGCGCCACGUUGUGUCAAGGGCCCUGUGGCUUUGAAGAACUUCGGUUAACUCAUCUCAUGGGCUUCUCUAAUGGUUGUACAAAAACAGACAAGCUCAAUGACUCCUCGCUUUGCACAGAGAGGUCUCAAGUAAUGAGCAGCUGUCCUGGGCUCCAGGUAGUGGGGCUAGGAGUCCACGCCUUUUUGGGGCAUGGCCGGUAUGGUUUCCACGCCCUCGUACUGAAACCUUCGGCGGCUCUGGAUCUCUGUGAGAGACGCAGUUUCUUGCAAAUGCCACUAUGAGUUUACUGGGCACUGAGCAGGGCGCUGAGUUAGGAUUUGGGAUCGAGAGUGAAUUAAUUCCCAGUCCUCAUCUAGUGCGCUCAGCUCUGUGCCAGGUGCUGGAGUUUCAGUGGCAAGUAAAGUUAGCCUACUCCGGUAGUCUCUAAUACAAGUGAUGUAAGCCAUAGUAUUACAUCCAUCAAAGAAAGCACUGAAAUAACUGUUCUUUUAGUUUUCUAGGGAAAAUGCAUACACACUAGUUAUGGUCAUUUGCAUAGGUCUUUUGAUGAGUGGAAUGCUUUCUAGAUUAUCCAAAAGUCAUGAUAUUUAUGUAUGUGACAGAAACAAUAGCUGAUACUCAUUUAUAAGCUGAGCUUAUACAUAAUAGAAACUUAACAAACUAGUGUAAACUAAAAAGAGGGCUUUCUUGGUGUAUGCAGUGUGGGAGAUCAGGGACGGAGAUGGCCUUCGGGAUAACUGUAUCCAGGGAUUGAAUGACAUCAGCUGUGUGUCUGCUUGUUUUUCUGUGUAGUUGUUUGUCUCUCCCUGAGAUAUAAUGAUUCACACAUCAUAAAAUUCAUCCUUUUAAAGUAUUAGUGGUCUUUAACAUAUUCGCUGAACACUAGCAUUAGUGUAUCAGUACGUACUCAGCCAUCACCACCGUCUAAGUCUACAGCGUCGUCAUCACCCCACACCUGUUCGCAGUCACCCCCAUUCUCGCAGUCACUCCUUUCAGCCCUGCGCACCCAGCAGUCUGCUUCCUGUCUCUGGGUUUUGCUUCUGGACGUUUCACAUCCACGGCCUCACAUGGUAUGUGGUCCUUUGUGACUGACUGACUGCUUCCACUUAGCGUAAUGUUGUCCAGGUUUGUUCUUGUCGUAGCGGGGGUCAGUUCUUCAUCCUUUUUGUCGCUAAAUACUAUUCCAUUGCAUGAAUGACCACAUUUUAAAAACUCUGUUCUUUAGUUGACGGACAGUAGGGUUAUUGCCACUUUGGGGCUAUUGUGAGUAAUGCUGUUACGAGCGUUUGUGUGCAGUUUUUUUGCUGUGUGGACAUACGUUUUCAUUUUUCUUGGGUACAUAUCUAGGAGUGGAAUUCCUGGGUCAUAUGGUAACUGUGUUUAACUUUUGGGGAAACUGCCUGACUUUUCCACCGCAGUGGCACCGUUUUUCAUUCUUACCAGUAGCAUGGGAGGGGCCUCAUUUCUCCACAUUCUCACCAACAUGUUAUCUGUCUUUUUGAUUGGACCAGAUUAUCUUUUAAGCACCUUUUAAUUCAGAAAGUGUAACUUUAUGGAAAACAUUAACUGUUCUUGAAAUUUAAUAAAAUUCCACAAAGGAAUUAAAUAGUAUGUAUGUGACAGCAAUGAGAAAUAGCUAUUUUAAGUUUAUUUACUUUCUACUGUGUUCUUGGGUCAUCCAUUUUUAUGAAGUGAUGACAAACUUCUGUUCGGAGUACGUUUGUGUAUUUUUUUUUUUUUUUCUCUAAAACCAGAUGGUAGCCAGAACAUAGCUGGGAUUUCAUUAAGAUAAUCUUAUCAGUUUUUGUUUAUUCGUGAAGUUUUUUUUUUAUUUUUUAUUUUUGGGAAAAAAAUUCUUGUCACGAAUAAGGAAGGACAUUAAACUCUAGGAAAUGAGAAGUCAAGGCCAUCUGGCGUUACAGUCCGCACAGAGUGCAAACAUCUCCUGAUGAUCUUUAUUGCCCCUUCCAUUCUGUGUCACCUACUGUUUUCUUUCAAAGGAAGAGUGGAAUGCAGUUCUAAAACCAGCUUUCGUGUCUCUCAGGAUUUCCCACUAGUUUUUGAGAGUCCUUGGACUCGGAACAGUUUUAUUCAUUUUGUGAACUCCGCACGUCUCGUCUUAUUCUUCUGCCCCUUAUGUUGCAUAAUUAUUCCCUUUGAAAGAAAAGGAGGGAGGAAGUUUUACAAUAGGCAUAGUUUAUUUUUAAUAUGCUGUAAACUCUUUAGAGCAGGAGCAAUUUUCUAUACUGUUGACUAUUUUAUAGGGCCCGGUACAUAAUAAGGGGCUCAAAAGAUAUUUGUGGGAGGGAUGGGGCUGUGGAAGGGUGGCCUGAUGGAUGGAUUUAUAGGUAAAGUGACUUACACAUGAUUGAAUUUUAGGGGUGUUGGCCAAUUCUUUAGUUCCAUUUUCUGUUUUCUUUUAAACACACAUGUUGGCUAUGUGAUGAUUGGUUAACAGAUGGAAUAAUUUGGUUUUUAUCCCUUGGAUUGUCACAUUGCUACAGUGUUUGAGAUUGUCUCAGCAACUUGGAGAUGUCUCAUUUCUUUCAGUGUUAAAUCGUUUCUGGGAUUAUUUCUAGUCACUGUGGUUGAACUGAAAAGCUGCCGCAAGGAAUCGUGAGGAAGGUAGGAAAAAUUGGCAUAUAAAGUUGGGACUGCAUCAGUUGGCACGUUCGAUCCCUAUAACCAUGAGAAUAAACUCUCCGGGAUCACAAGGUCGUAAUUGAGGCAUCUUGCCAUUCAGCAGAGUUCGCUUGGGUUUUGAUUUGGUUUGGGAGUGUGGGGCGCCAACGAGUCUUUGCGGGAUAUAAAGGUUAGUUUAUUGUUGGUGAAACCUUUUUCCAUUUUGUUUCGUCUUUUCCCUCCCUUUCCACCACCUACUCUUCAUACAGGUUUCGCGGUAUCCUCUGCAUGGAAGUGCCCUUCUAAGUAGCUGAUCGUGGUGACAGAGUCUGACCUUAUGGACAGGACAGUGGGAAAACGUGGGUGCCACGUGAUCCUUCUCCCUGGGCGCAGUGGAGACUGAAACUGUCCAAAGACAUGGGACGAAUUGCCUGUGAACGCGAUAGUGAUGAAUGCAGACAGGCCUCAGUUUACCCCUGUAUUGUGUUUAUGAGUUAAGUUAGUUCUUUGGGACACUGCACGUCUUCCUGUGGAAAAAGUGCUAUAAAUGAUCCUUGGGCUCAUAGGCCAACCCAAGAAAUGAUGUCGAUGGUGAAGACGACAUAGCUGAAAGGUCCAAAUAUAUUGUAGCUACAACUAGCUGAAGACAUUUCUUAUUGAAAAAGCAAUACCAUUAAAGACUUCUGCAGGCCAGACUGGGGAGUUACCCAGCACUUCUGCCCUCAUCUCUGGGGGGUGAGGGGAAAUACGGCUGAAGGAGAGUGUCAGUGACAAACUUUCCUCUGCAGUUUAGUGAUGGCAUCAUCUCUGACGGGCACAGGACUCCCGUCCUUGGGGUUGCCCAUGUAGAAAACAGACGCCGUUCCACAGCCCACAGUGAGAUGGUACAGACUUGAGACCCUCUUACCACGCAUUUCCAACACGGUGGGCUGUGUGCUCCCCGUUCCUCUCCUGAGCCUCCCUUUAUUUUUCCUCCUCAACAGUUAGUGCCUCAACGCCUAGUUGACUGAGUUCUGUAUCCUUCGAGACCUGACCCUGAAACUGCCCCUUUGCAUUCAGAGGCUGAGCAGCCGCGGGCUGACUCGAAGCCUGAUUCCUCUUUGGAAUCAGAUACCCUUGUUCAGAAAUGACUGCCAGGCUCAGGUCUCAAACCCUGCAGUCACAAGGCAAGGGACGAGCCAGGGGAUCACUCAGCAUCACGGGUCCACACUCUCUGCCUGCUGUGUGACAAGAGAUAAAAGGACCACUCACUGCUGCCUGCUGGGGUGCUGGCAGAGCGUGGCUCCCUCACUUCUUCGCUUUAUUUCCAGGCCCCUGCUGCGGGCGGGGGUGGGGGGGGUUCCCCGUAGGGGAGAGAAUCUUAGGCUCCACCUUCCCCUUUGAUUUCUAAAUCUCCUGGGACCGUCCCCAGCCUUGUCCCUGCUACUUCUGUUUGCAGUGUGUUUGUCACUCUCAUUUCGUACAUGGAGUUCUUUUUUCUCUGCACCGUUUCUAAACUUUCUGACAAGUUUUGUGUUGGGUUUGCAAGCACUUGCGUGGAAAUAGCUCCUGAGUUGAAAAAGCACAGUGGACGCCAGGUUUCGUUUGUGCAGUUCCAAACUGCAUAAAAACAUGAAAAGUCAGCUCUAAUUAACAUUAAAGUGCAUUAAAAAAACAAAAAAAAAAAACAAAAAAAAAAACA
This is a long non-coding RNA of Pteropus alecto (black flying fox), 4507 nucleotides long. RefSeq lists it as uncharacterized. Lineage: Eukaryota; Metazoa; Chordata; Mammalia; Chiroptera; Pteropodidae. The record is from RefSeq and is a predicted model, not a curated record. The transcript has 2 exons.